AUCCGGGUCCUGCGCAAUGGGAGUCUUCGAACCGUGUCAGGGCAGGAAUGCAGCAGCACUAAGAGGAAUAUCUCAUGUGCCGCAGGUUGGCCUGGAUCCA
This 100-nucleotide signal recognition particle RNA is filed under the name Lachnospiraceae bacterium. RNAcentral describes it as "signal recognition particle sRNA small type". It matches the Rfam family "Bacterial small signal recognition particle RNA". Rfam says of the family: The signal recognition particle (SRP) is a universally conserved ribonucleoprotein involved in the co-translational targeting of proteins to membranes. Archaeal SRP consists of a 7S RNA and homologues of the eukaryotic SRP19 and SRP54 proteins. Lineage: Bacteria; Bacillati; Bacillota; Clostridia; Lachnospirales; Lachnospiraceae. The record is from RNAcentral.